Long non-coding RNA from Heterocephalus glaber (naked mole-rat), 815 nucleotides. Lineage: Eukaryota; Metazoa; Chordata; Mammalia; Rodentia; Bathyergidae. The record is from Ensembl.
GCGGAGGAGGGGCGCCAGGGCGGCGCGGGCCCGGGGCCACCUGCUGGCCGAGCCGCUGCUCCCCGGGGCGCCGCUUCCGCCUGGCCGAGCGCGGCGCCCCGAGGAGGCGGGAGGCCGCGGCGCAGCGCCCUGGGCCGGGCCCGCCGCGGGGCCUGGGCUCGCGGACCCUUGGUCGCCGCCCGCCCCGGAGCUGGAGCCGCCGCGGCCGCGGCUGCGGGCCGGGAACUUACCCUUUGCCGUCUGCGAGGCCGGCGGAGGUGGAGCGCGGGCUCGGUUCCGGCGGACUCGGUCCGAGGGGAGUUGGGGUGCGGGGGCUGUGCCCCAGGUCGAACGCCGGUGCUCGACGGACGCGGGGCGGGGGCGGGUUUGUGUCCCGCGCCUCCUGGGGGCAGCGCCGACCGCGGGCGCCCCGGAGCGGAACGGAAAGGAAUUCGGCCCGGGGAGAGCGUGCUGAACGCGGCGACACGCCGGACCGAAAGCCCCGGCGGGCGUGCGGAGGGCACGGACGGCCCGGCCCUACGGCCCCCGGCUCGGGGAGACCGGCCACUCCGCGUGGCCCUCACCCCGGAAGCAAAACUGGACCAGGGUGAGAGGCAGUCGUGGCGGCGGUGUGGGCAGUGGGCGCGCCUGGCCUGCGGGCGAGAGCGGGGAGGUCACUCGGUGGAGCAGCCUUGAAUUUGGGGCCACUGUCUUUGAGGUUGUUAGCCGGCAGGGUCCCUUCCCCAGAAAGCGUGCGUGGGACAAAUGAAAUUGUACCUGUAAGAGGUGACAGAGGCAUUAAAGUGGUAACAGUGAGUAAAGCAACUACCCAGUUU